Molecule: transfer RNA, 60 nt
Filed under: Minisyncoccota bacterium
Lineage: Bacteria; Bacillati; Minisyncoccota
Description: tRNA-Pro
Source: RNAcentral
CGGGGUGUAGCGCAGUUGGCUAGCGCGCCUCGUUUGGGACGAGGAGGCCNNCCACCCCGA